GACGAACGCUGGCGGCGUGCCUAAUACAUGCAAGUUGAGCGCUGAAGGUUGGUACUUGUACCAACUGGAUGAGCAGCGAACGGGUGAGUAACGCGUGGGGAAUCUGCCUUUGAGCGGGGGACAACAUUUGGAAACGAAUGCUAAUACCGCAUAAAAACUUUAAACACAAGUUUUAAGUUUGAAAGAUGCAAUUGCAUCACUCAAAGAUGAUCCCGCGUUGUAUUAGCUAGUUGGUGAGGUAAAGGCUCACCAAGGCGAUGAUACAUAGCCGACCUGAGAGGGUGAUCGGCCACAUUGGGACUGAGACACGGCCCAAACUCCUACGGGAGGCAGCAGUAGGGAAUCUUCGGCAAUGGACGAAAGUCUGACCGAGCAACGCCGCGGGAGUGAAGAAGGGUUUCGGAUCGUAAAACUCUGUUGGUAGAGAAGAACGUUGGUGAGAGUGGAAAGCCCAUCAAGUGACGGUAACUACCCAGAAAGGGACGGCUAACUACGUG
This 497-nucleotide ribosomal RNA is filed under the name uncultured bacterium. RNAcentral's name for it is "partial 16S ribosomal RNA". It matches the Rfam family "Bacterial small subunit ribosomal RNA", at positions 28 to 507 of the family's 1533-position model. The record is from RNAcentral.